Molecule: ribosomal RNA, 387 nt
Filed under: uncultured bacterium
Lineage: Bacteria
Description: bacterial SSU rRNA
Rfam family: Bacterial small subunit ribosomal RNA
Source: RNAcentral
GACGGGUGAGUGNCACGUGGGAAUCUAUCCUUUGCUACGGAACACUCCGGGAAACUGGAGCUAAUACCGUAUGUGCCCUUCGGGGGAAAGAUUUAUCGGCAAGGGAUGAGCCCGCGUCGGAUUAGCUAGUUGGUGGGGUAAAGGCCUACCAAGGCGACGAUCCGUAGCUGGUCUGAGAGGAUGAUCAGCCACACUGGGACUGAGACACGGCCCAGACUCCUACGGGAGGCAGCAGUGGGGAAUAUUGGACAAUGGGGGCAACCCUGAUCCAGCCAUGCCGCGUGAGUGAUGAAGGCCCUAGGGUUGUAAAGCUCUUUCACCGGUGAAGAUAAUGACGGUAACCGGAGAAGAAGCCCCGGCUAACUUCGUGCCAGCAGCCGCGGUAAU